Saimiri boliviensis boliviensis (Bolivian squirrel monkey) is the source of this 992-nucleotide non-coding RNA. Lineage: Eukaryota; Metazoa; Chordata; Mammalia; Primates; Cebidae. The record is from RefSeq and is a predicted model, not a curated record.
AUGUCCAGAGCCCUUGAUGUCCUGUGAAUGAAGGAGGAGGAUGUCCUUAAGUUCCUUGCAGCAGAUAGGUGGCACCAACCUUGACUUCCAGAUGGAAUAGUACAUCUAUAAAAGGAAAAGUGAUGGCAUCUACAUCAUAAAUCUGAAGAGAACCUGGGAGAAGCUUCUCCUGGCAGCUCGUGCCAUUGUUGCCAUUGAAAGCCCUGCUGAUGUCAGUGUUAUAUUCUCCAGGAAUACUGCCCAGAGGGCUGUGCUGAAGUUUGCUGCUGCUACUGGAGCCACUCCAAUUGCUAGCUACUUCACUCCUGGAACCUUCACCAACCAGAUCCAGGCAGCCUUCCGGGAGCUACGGCUGCUUGUGGUUAUUGACACCAGGGCUGACCACCAGCCUCUUGCGGAGGCAUCCUAUGUUAACCUACCUAUCAUUGCUCUGUGUAACACAGAUUCUGCUCUGCACUAUGUGGACAUUGCCAUCUCAUGCAACAACAAGGGAGCUCACUUAGUGGGUUUGAUGUGGUGGAUGCUAGCUUGGGAAGCUCUGUGCAUGUGUGACACCAUUUCCUGUGAACAUCCGUGGGAGGUCAUGCCUGAUCUCUACUUCUACAGGGAACCUGAAGAGAUUGAAAAAGAGCAGGCUGCUGCUGAAAAGGCUAUGACCAAGAAGGAAUUUCAGGUUGAGUGGACUGCUCCAGCUCCUGAGUUUACUGCUACUCAGCUUGAGGUUGCAGACUGGUCUGAAGGCAUGCAGGUGCCCUUUGUGCCUAUCCAGCAGUUCCCUACUAAAGAUAGGAGCACUCAGCCUGCCACGGAAGACUGGUCUGCAGCUCCCACUGCUCAGGCCACUGAAUGGGUAGGAGCAACCACUGAACGGUCUUCAGCUGUUCUUGCACAAGCUCUUAAGCAACAUGGAAAUAAGAUUGAUGGAAAAUAAGCAUCAAGUUUCUAAAAAAGAACACACACAAAACUGAAAUUUUAGACUGGGCACAAUGGCU